RNAcentral lists this unclassified non-coding RNA (140 nucleotides) under uncultured Monographella. Its description in RNAcentral is "sequence contains ITS1". Lineage: Eukaryota; Fungi; Ascomycota; Sordariomycetes; Xylariales. The record is from RNAcentral.
CUGAGUUUACACUCUCAAACCAUGUGAAUCUACCACUGUUGCCUCGGUGGUUGGCUUCUCUUCGGAGGGGUCGCCGCCGGCGGACAAACUAAACUCUUGUCAACUUUGUCAAAUCUGAAUCAAAACUAAGAAAUAAGUUA